GGAACACUACGUCGCGGAAUACGUUGCAAGGAUUCAGCAUGUUGAGAAGUGGUAGACUGGUACUUGAAACAGCAUCCUGGUUGACACAUCUAGCUGUACUUCCGUUGCAGUGCGCGGUAGAGCGAAUCCUACUUUCGCUUUCACUUUCAGAAUCUUGCUCGAUAUACAGCAACAAGAAGUUCCCGUCCCGUCCUAAAUAUGAUCCCAUCAUAUCAAUUGUCCUUCUCUUACUGCCAUUUAAAGUUAUUUCGUGAGUUCAUGUUUCUACACUGGCUUUUUGCUCGCUGUUCUUAAAGAAAACUGAAAAACGGGAAUACCAAAACUAUUAAUAGCUUCGUCCCGCAGUGUAUAGUAAUAGUUAAUUCCAUUGGUUGUUAUUACAGAUACAGCCUGGUUCCCUUGGUAUGCUACGCUGGCGCUAGACUAUGCAAAUAAAGUCUGAUAUCAGAGACGGGGCCCAGCUUACACUAUGUAGCGCCAGCGCGGCAUACCCGGGGAACCAGGCUGUUUCAACUUACUGAAUGAAGAGAUGGAACACAGCUUCUGGCCAACACUCCACAUUGACUGGUUCCCGUUCGUUCCUGCACGGACCAAAAUUAUAUAGGCCCGUGGUUACUGAGAAGACAAAUAUCGAGAAAACAAACUAACACGAUCAGUAAACGAAAAUUGCCAAAACGCUUCGCCCCAUUUUCCACAAACCUGUUUCCGUGUUUUAAUCUGUGCCGCAUAUUUGGCUCAUGAAACAGGACUCGUUUGCGAAAUUCAUGCUUAUUCAUCGUCCAAACGACCUUUGAGGCGGAUUCGAUAUUCGAUUUAUUGAUACUAGUAUCUAAAGUCAUUAAGUGAUAUCAAUAUGUAGGGAGGAAAUAGUAAAAUGGCGCCCAUUGCUAACAAUCAUUGUUGCCUAGGGAGUUUGUGGAAACAAGACAGUCGAAUCAAAGAGCAGCACAUACAAGAAGUGACGGACAGGUUGAAACCAGGGAAGGUGGAGUGCUACCUGUGUGGUCCAUCCCCCAUGAUAGCAAGUAUAGAAACAAUGCUUAAGGCCUGUGGCAUCACUGAACCCAGCAUUCACUACGAGAGAUGGUGGUAGAUGCUCUGGGAUUGUAUAUUGGAGGAGUAUCAUGGCAUUAUGGAAUUCCUAUGGUAUGUUUUAUUAAGUUUUAAGCACAUAUCAGUUGUGCCCUUGACAAAUGUAGUGAUAAUUCCAAUUAAGUGUUGCUGUAUUUGUCAAAAGAAUUUCCAUGAAGCCCUCAAAAACCUGAAUAAAAUCUGUGAUCACUGA
This is a long non-coding RNA of Haliotis rufescens (red abalone), 1285 nucleotides long. RefSeq lists it as uncharacterized. The transcript is spliced from 2 exons. Lineage: Eukaryota; Metazoa; Mollusca; Gastropoda; Lepetellida; Haliotidae. The record is from RefSeq and is a predicted model, not a curated record.